RNAcentral lists this transfer RNA (67 nucleotides) under Mileewa ussurica. Its description in RNAcentral is "tRNA-Phe". RNAcentral also lists the same sequence under 1 other name. The record is from RNAcentral. Lineage: Eukaryota; Metazoa; Arthropoda; Insecta; Hemiptera; Cicadellidae.
AUUUUUAUAGCUUAAGUAUCAAGAGUAUGAUAUUGAAAAUAUCAAUGUGAAUUUUAUUCUAAAAAUA